UUUAAGUAGCAUCUUUUUUAUUGCUGCCGCCAAUUUGUAAAAAAGAAUGGCUCUGUCUUGCCCACAAACCCUCCUCCACGGCCACCGCCGGAAUCCCUCGCCAGUGGCGAGAACACUCUUUAUUUCCGACAUUUCCGCCGCUGCACCGCCGCGGCAACCUCAACUCCACUCCAAGCUAGUUCUAAAACAGCCCCCACUUUCACCCAUCUUUAUUAAACCCUCCAAACCCCACCACUCCAAAUCCGUCAACACCAACGUGAAAUCCCUUUUCACCGGAAUCGUGGAAGAAAUGGGAACAAUCAAGCACCUGGGCUUCGAUCAACCCGACAGCUUCACUAUGAAAAUCCAAGCAAAAACCGUUCUUGAAGGCGUGCACUUGGGUGACAGCAUCGCCGUCAACGGCACCUGCCUAACGGUGACGGAGUACGACACCGUUUUGGGAGAAUUCUCGGUGGGAUUGGCGCCGGAGACGCUGCGGAAGACUUCACUGGGCGAAUUGGAGAGUGGGUCUUUGGUCAAUUUGGAGAGUGGGUCUUUGGUCAAUUUGGAGAGGGCGUUGAGCCCUAGCACCAGAAUGGGGGGACAUUUCGUGCAGGGGCACGUCGAUGGGACCGGAGAAAUCGCCGAAUUGAGGGCGGAGGGGGACUCGCUGUGGGUGAAGGUGAAAGUUGGGAGGGAGAUUUUGAGGUACAUUGUGCCUAAGGGGUUUAUUGCUGUGGAUGGAACGAGUUUGACUGUGGUGGAUGUGUUUGAUGAUGAAGGGUGCUUCAAUUUCAUGUUGGUGGCUUACACACAGCAGAAAGUUGUGAUCGCUUUGAAGAAAGUUGGGCAGAAGGUGAAUUUGGAGGUUGAUAUUUUGGGGAAGUAUGUGGAGAGGCUUCUCAGCAGCGGCUUCGUGGAUUCGUUCAAAUCGUCAUGAAGUAAAGCUUCUUUCAUUAGUGUUUUGUGUGCUAUGCCUUGUUUUUGGAAUAUUUGCUUAUGAUCCAUUGCUGUGUUUGUUGUGUUUCUUGAUGAAUGAAUAUGGUGGUUCUAGUGUCUUGGUAGAAAAACUAGAGAAACGGAACUAUUUGUUGCUUGUUCAUAUGGAAACCUAGAUAAUCUUAGGUUGCAAGCUCACAAUUACUACAAAAUUGUGGUUGCACCUGAAUGCAGCAUAUGAAUAGCAUUGUCGUUUUGCUUGAUUUGUUAUCGUUGUUCCAUUUAUUAAAAGGCAUGCAUGUGAUUGGCCUUUGCCGUUUGUUGGUCCAAGUAGAUUGGUGAUAAUUCGGAAAACAUGAUGGAAUUGAUGAGUGAUUUCUCUCUGGCUUAGCUCUGCUUGAGUUUAUAGCUUCUAAAUCCUAAAAGAAAGAUAGAAACUUUUCCUACCACGCAACUGAAACUUUGCUGAGGAGGCCUAAGUUGGCGACUGCUAGAACAACAUUAAGAAAUUAUUCCUUUUGUUGCUAUUGCUUGACUAGAUGAGUUUUAAACUUAUGAGUAGUGCUUAGAAAGUUCGCUAGGUGCCACUCUGGGUGUGUUAAGUGGCUAGUUGUUACGCAAGAAUUGUAUACGGGAUGCUCCAGCCUUCGUUAAUCUAGUAGUUCUGUCUUGACUUUGUAGUUUUUAUAUGAGAAGUCGAUCAUUUAGUAGAAUGCAUCUGUGUCGUGAACCAAAUUCAGGAUCUGGCUUAAUCUCUCAAAUAUACUUAAUUUCAAACUCUAUGGUCACUGCAUACUCAAUCUGUGAGAAUCUGAGAAACUGAACUGCUUAAUCACAAGCACUCUAUGAUAUUCUUCCCCGAACAAACUCUCUUAAUAAAUACUCCCUCUGUCCCAUUAAAAGUGACUCAUUUUCUUUUGGUACGGAGAUUAAGGAUAAGGUGUAUAUUGAAUAAAAGUGGUAGGACCCACACCUUUUCAAGAAUUAAUUAUUACUUUUAUAGAAUGGAAAACGAACCACUUUUUACGGGAUGGAGGGAGUAUCUCGUUUUUGAAGGGUGUUGAUGAAAUCUCUUCAUCCCUCGUGUUACGAAGAAUAGAAAGGAGAAAUAGCUUAAACGUUCUAUGUCACAAGGAAUGUAUUCGAUUCUUUGAUAAUUUCUCUUUUAGAUAAAUAUAUAUAUCUUGAUGUUCUUACAAAGUGACCAUUCUGCAUUUUUUGCGCUAUGGAAUCUGCACAUUUUUUUUCAAAUUUCGAGGGCUUCUAUACGAGGUAGGAUUAGUAGCCAUCAUGUUUGAUACUAAAAUCGUCUUAAAACAGCCGGGAAGUGGGAGAGUGAGCUAGAACAGCUGAGAGGCUAGUUGGUUCUUGAACAUUUUAGAUGUAGUUCAAUAACCUAGUUUAGUUGUUUCCCACUGCUUAACUCCUCAUAGAAUUUCGACAAAUGAGGAUUGGAACACUGAAUGUGAUACCAAGAUCCUUGAAGCUCUUCUCGUUAACAGCCUUAGGCGUGCACAGUUUCUUCAAGUCGUGCAUACCUCAAUUGCAGCGUUCUGUUUUCUUGAGAAGCUUCGACUAUUUUAGUUUUCUGGGCCGCUGUUUCCUGCUCGAAUUCGUCUUUGUUGGUCUUGAUUCUCUCUACUUGAUUCUAGUUUAAUUGCAGAAGUCAUUUGUAUAAUUUCCAGCAAUAAUCUGUUUUUACAUACAUGGCAUAUCUGAUUUGCAACAAAAUAGGAAAAAGAAAUUAUGUGGCAGGAUUUGUGUUUGAUACUAUGAAAUCAAUUACAGGAGCUCAUAUCGUGGUUCGUGUUCAAGUUCGUGGUUUGUGUUUGUGUUUGUGUUCGUGGUUGAGAGGAAGCUCUUUCCACUAACAGAUAUAGAGUUAAUUUCGUUCAGCUCUGAACUAUAUUUAUUGUACCAGUUCAAAAUAAUAUUUAUGUUUUUCCUUUUUUUUUCUUUUACUGGGAAAAACAAUUUCAUAUACUAAUGUAGUAAAUUAGUGUAUGAUGUAACCGUGUAGCCACAAUGAUCAAUGAAAUAUCGGAUUUGUUAUA
Salvia miltiorrhiza (redroot sage) is the source of this 2972-nucleotide RNA transcript. It is a transcript of the gene named riboflavin synthase-like, with no coding region annotated. The record is from RefSeq and is a predicted model, not a curated record. NCBI's taxonomy places the organism in Eukaryota, Viridiplantae, Streptophyta, Magnoliopsida, Lamiales, Lamiaceae. The transcript is spliced from 2 exons.